RNAcentral lists this ribosomal RNA (468 nucleotides) under uncultured bacterium. RNAcentral's name for it is "partial 16S ribosomal RNA". It matches the Rfam family "Bacterial small subunit ribosomal RNA", at positions 28 to 507 of the family's 1533-position model. The record is from RNAcentral.
GACGAACGCUGGCGGCGUGCUUAACACAUGCAAGUCGAACGGAAAGGCCCUGCUUUUGUGGGGUGCUCGAGUGGCGAACGGGUGAGUAACACGUGAGUAACCUGCCCUUGACUUUGGGAUAACUUCAGGAAACUGGGGCUAAUACCGGAUAGGAGCUCCUGCUGCAUGGUGGGGGUUGGAAAGUUUCGGCGGUUGGGGAUGGACUCGCGGCUUAUCAGCUUGUUGGUGGGGUAGUGGCUUACCAAGGCUUUGACGGGUAGCCGGCCUGAGAGGGUGACCGGCCACAAUGGGACUGAGAGACGGCCCAGACUCCUACGGGAGGCAGCAGUGGGGAAUAUUGCACAACGGGCGGAAGCCUGAUGUGGCAACGCCGCGUGCGGGAUGACGGCCUUCGGGUUGUAAACCGCUUUCGCCUGUGAUGAAGCGUGAGUGACGGUAAUGGGUAAAGAAGCACCGGCUAACUACGUG